This 468-nucleotide ribosomal RNA is filed under the name uncultured Steroidobacter sp. RNAcentral describes it as "bacterial SSU rRNA". It matches the Rfam family "Bacterial small subunit ribosomal RNA", at positions 337 to 797 of the family's 1533-position model. Lineage: Bacteria; Pseudomonadati; Pseudomonadota; Gammaproteobacteria; Steroidobacterales; Steroidobacteraceae. The record is from RNAcentral.
UCCUACGGGGGGCAGCAGUGGGGAAUAUUGGACAAUGGGCGAAAGCCUGAUCCAGCGACGCCGCGUGGGUGAAGAAGGCCUGCGGGUUGUAAAGCCCUUUCGGUGGGGAAGAAAAGCCUCGACCUAAUACGUCGGGGUCUUGACGUAACCCAAGAAAGAAGCACCGGCUAACUCUGUGCCAGCAGCCGCGGUAAUACAGAGGGUGCGAGCGUUAAUCGGAAUUACUGGGCGUAAAGCGCGCGUAGGCGGCUGUGGAAGUCGGAUGUGAAAGCACCAGGCUGAACCUGGGAACUGCACUCGAGACUGCAUUGCUAGAGUAUGGGAGAGGGAAGUGGAAUUUCCGGUGUAGCGGUGAAAUGCGUAGAUAUCGGAAGGAACAUCAGUGGCGAAAGCGACUUCCUGGACCAAUACUGACGCUCAUGUGCGAAAGCGUGGGGAGCAAACAGGAUUAGAUACCCCGGUAGUCCA